This 777-nucleotide ribosomal RNA is filed under the name uncultured Neocallimastigales. Its description in RNAcentral is "partial large subunit ribosomal RNA". It matches the Rfam family "Eukaryotic large subunit ribosomal RNA", at positions 24 to 635 of the family's 3401-position model. Lineage: Eukaryota; Fungi; Neocallimastigomycota; Neocallimastigomycetes; Neocallimastigales. The record is from RNAcentral.
UUAUGUGAUCGUCUCUCGCAUAUCAAUAAGCGGAGGAAAAGAAACUAACAAGGAUUCCCCUAGUAACGGCGAGUGAAGCGGGAAGAGCUCAAAUUUGAAAUCUUAAAGGGUUUCCCUUUACGAAUUGUAGUUUAAAGAAGUGUUUUCUGUUGAGGUUUUGGCUAAAAGUUCUUUGGAAUAGGACAUCAUAGAGGGUGAGAAUCCCGUAUUUGACCUUUACUUUCAACUUUGUGAUACACUUUCAAAGAGUCGGAUUGUUUGGGAAUGCAGUCCAAAAUGGGUGGUAAAUUUCAUCUAAAGCUAAAUAUUGGCGAGAGACCGAUAGCGAACAAGUACCGUGAGGGAAAGAUGAAAAGAACUUUGAAAAGAGAGUUAAACAGUACGUGAAAUUGUCAAAAGGGAAGCGUUUGACACCAGUGUUGUUUUUCUGAAAAUCAAUUAAAGAACUGUUUAUGCUAAGUUGUUUAGACUUUAUCAGCUAUCUGUUUAGUUUUGAGCUUUUCUUUAAUGCACUUUUCAGUUAACAAGUCAACAUCAAUUUCUUUUGCUGUAAAAAAGCUUGAGGAAGGUGGCUUGAGAUUCGUCUUAAGUGUUUAUAGGCCUCUUGCCUAUGCAGUCGGAGAGAUUGAGGUCUGCAGCGUAGAUCCUUCGGGGCUAAAUGCAUUUGUGCUAAGUUAUAGCAUUUUAUAGACAACUUGUUGACUAUGAUUUGUCUUGUAGCUUACUCGCUUAUGUUAUUUUACCUACGCUUAGGAUGUUGAUCUACAGAGCGAGAGU